GAUGAAGAACGUAGCGAAACGCGAUAAGUAGUGUGAAUUGCAGAAUUCAGUGAAUCAUCGAAUCUUUGAACGCACAUUGCGCCCCUCGGUAUUCCGUGGGGCAUGCCUGUUCGAGCGUCAUUUACCCCCUCAAGCCUAGCUUGGUAUUGGGUGCUUGUCCCGCCUCUCGCGCGGCGACUCACCUCAAAGUCAUUGGCAGCCCGCAUCUCGCCGGCCGUGAGCGCAGCACAGACGCGCUCUUGGCAACGACGGAUCGGCUCUCCAAAAGCUUAUUUCAACCACUGACCUCGGAUCAGGUAGGGAUACCCGCUGAACUUAAGCAUAUCAAUAAGCGGAGGA
RNAcentral lists this unclassified non-coding RNA (339 nucleotides) under soil metagenome. RNAcentral describes it as "partial contains 5.8S ribosomal RNA, internal transcribed spacer 2, and large subunit ribosomal RNA". The stretch from base 1 to 120 matches the Rfam family "5.8S ribosomal RNA", at positions 35 to 154 of the family's 154-position model. The record is from RNAcentral.